ACAGGUACGGAUCAACACUCUUUGAUACCGAGUGUCUCGACUGGCCUCAGCACGACGCAGUCAUGAUUCCUAUGGGAAUGUUCAAUCAUUCUAUUCCGACUUCAUACCGUGAAAGGAUGUUCCAUGUACCCGCAAUCGGGUACCGUCUUGCCGUCUGCUUGUUCCAAGAAACAUUUCACG
Long non-coding RNA from Rhipicephalus sanguineus (brown dog tick), 180 nucleotides. RefSeq lists it as uncharacterized. The transcript has 3 exons. The record is from RefSeq and is a predicted model, not a curated record. Lineage: Eukaryota; Metazoa; Arthropoda; Arachnida; Ixodida; Ixodidae.